GACGAACCGUGCGAACGUUAUUCGGAAUCACUGGGCUUAAAGCGCGUGUAGGUGGAGCGGUACGUCGGUCGCUUAAAUCCCCCGGCUUAACCGGGGAACUGGCGGCGAUACGGCCGUUCUGGAGGGGCGUAGGGGGAUCGGGAACUUCCGGUGGAGCGGUGAAAUGCGUUGAGAUCGGAAGGAACGCCCGUGGCGAAAGCGCGGUCCUGGACGCUUUCUGACACUGAGACGCGAAAGCCAGGGGAGCAAACGGG
RNAcentral lists this ribosomal RNA (254 nucleotides) under uncultured bacterium. RNAcentral describes it as "partial 16S ribosomal RNA". It matches the Rfam family "Bacterial small subunit ribosomal RNA", at positions 524 to 776 of the family's 1533-position model. The record is from RNAcentral.